ACAGCAGCGCCACCUGCACCAUCUCCUCUAGUUCAAUGUGGUCGUAACUGUUCCUGAGUCCCUUAUCGACAAGCACGUCGAGCUUCUUCUCCUGGUGCAUCUUCUUCACCUGAGCAGAAGCCAGUGCCCAUAUAAGACCUCAGUCUGCCCGGUAAUCAGCUCGAGCAGCAGGAUCCCGAAGCCGAAGACGUCGGUUUUCUCAGAUGACUGGCCUGUGGAGAGGUACUCCGGGGCAAUGUGUCCUACGGUGCCCCUCACAGCUGUGGUGACAUGUGAAUCACGGUGAUCCAGGAGCUUGGCAAGCCCAAAAUCUCCGACGAUUGCUUCACAGAAGUCAUCAAGCAGUACGUUUGCUGCCUUUACAUCCCUGUGGAUGAUCUUGGGAUCACACUGCUCGUGCAGGUAUAGCAGGCCUCUUGCCGCACCGAGUGCUAUCCCCUUUCUGGUGAUCCAGUCCAGUGGUGGCUUCCCUGUAAUUGGUUAGGUGAGAACAAAGUUAGCAUUGGUCAUGUGGGAUUCUAAGUUCUGAAGACCUGCCUAAAAGAGAAGAAAUAUAAAUGCAAGAACCAAAUGCAAAUAUUUUAGUGUUCUGUUCAUUGAGUUGAAGUUUGUGAUGAUCAA
Molecule: long non-coding RNA, 621 nt
Organism: Brachypodium distachyon (stiff brome)
Lineage: Eukaryota; Viridiplantae; Streptophyta; Magnoliopsida; Poales; Poaceae
Exons: 2
Source: RefSeq, a predicted model, not a curated record